AUAUUACGGAAAAGAAAAAAGAAAUUUCUAGAUUACAUGAAAAUAUAAAUAAAAGUAAUGAUGCAGUUGUUCAUUUGCACAAGCACAGAAAAAAUUAUAAGGAGAACUGUAAUGCCUGGAAACCAACCUAUGUCGCUCUUAGCAAGCAUGAAGAGUAUUUAAAGAACCAACUCAAAAUCUACCAAGAAACUACAGAAAAUGACCGGAAAAUGUAUCAGGAUUACAUCAUCCAAUAUAACAACAUUUUGAAGCAACACCAAGAAAAAUAUUCAGAAACAGCUCUUUCACAAGAAUACUAUAUGAAAAAAAAGGAUCUUGAAGAAAUCAAAAAUAGAGUUUUGAAACAUUCUGAACUAUUUAAAUCAAAAGAAGCUGCUCUUUUGGAUA
This is a long non-coding RNA of Gavialis gangeticus (Gharial), 387 nucleotides long. RefSeq lists it as uncharacterized. The transcript has 3 exons. NCBI's taxonomy places the organism in Eukaryota, Metazoa, Chordata, Crocodylia, Gavialidae. The record is from RefSeq and is a predicted model, not a curated record.